Molecule: ribosomal RNA, 497 nt
Filed under: uncultured bacterium
Lineage: Bacteria
Description: partial 16S ribosomal RNA
Rfam family: Bacterial small subunit ribosomal RNA
Source: RNAcentral
GAUGAACGCUGGCGGCGUGCCUAAUACAUGCCAGUCGAGCGAACAGACGAGGAGCUUGCUCCUCUGACGUUAGCGGCGGACGGGUGAGUAACACGUGGAUAACCUACCUAUAAGACUGGGAUAACUUCGGGAAACCGGAGCUAAUACCGGAUAAUAUAUUGAACCGCAUGGUUCAAUAAUGAAAGACGGUUUUGCUGUCACUUAUAGAUGGAUCCGCGCCGCAUUAGCUAGUUGGUAAGGUAACGGCUUACCAAGGCAACGAUGCGUAGCCGACCUGAGAGGGUGAUCGGCCACACUGGAACUGAGACACGGUCCAGACUCCUACGGGAGGCAGCAGUAGGGAAUCUUCCGCAAUGGGCGAAAGCCUGACGGAGCAACGCCGCGUGAGUGAUGAAGGUCUUCGGAUCGUAAAACUCUGUUAUUAGGGAAGAACAAAUGUGUAAGUAACUAUGCACGUCUUGACGGUACCUAAUCAGAAAGCCACGGCUAACUACGUG